RNAcentral lists this ribosomal RNA (250 nucleotides) under uncultured bacterium. RNAcentral's name for it is "partial 16S ribosomal RNA". It matches the Rfam family "Bacterial small subunit ribosomal RNA", at positions 1251 to 1500 of the family's 1533-position model. The record is from RNAcentral.
GAAACUGCGAAGUGGAGCAAAACUCUAAAAAACAANCUCAGUUCAGAUUGCAGGCUGCAACUCGCCUGCAUGAAGUCGGAAUUGCUAGUAAUCGUAGGUCAGCAUACUACGGUGAAUACGUUCCCGGGCCUUGUACACACCGCCCGUCAAACCAUGAGAGUUGGCAACACCCGAAGUCGGUAGUCUAACCGCAAGGAGGACGCCGCCGAAGGUGGGGUUGAUGAUUAGGGUUAAGUCGUAACAAGGUACC